This 248-nucleotide ribosomal RNA is filed under the name uncultured bacterium. RNAcentral describes it as "partial 16S ribosomal RNA". It matches the Rfam family "Bacterial small subunit ribosomal RNA", at positions 107 to 353 of the family's 1533-position model. The record is from RNAcentral.
UGAGUAACGCGUGGGUAACCUGCCUUAUACAGGGGGAUAACAGUCAGAAAUGGCUGCUAAUACCGCAUAAGCGCACAGAGCUGCAUGGCUCAGUGUGAAAAACUCCGGUGGUAUAAGAUGGACCCGCGUUGGAUUAGCUUGUUGGCGGGGUAACGGCCCACCAAGGCGACGAUCCAUAGCCGGCCUGAGAGGGUGAACGGCCACAUUGGGACUGAGACACGGCCCAGACUCCUACGGGAGGCAGCAUG